CAGUAGCCGCGGUAAAACGUAGGUGGCAAGCGUUGUCCGGAAUUAUUGGGCGUAAAGGGCUCGCAGGCGGUUUCUUAAGUCUGAUGUGAAAGCCCCCGGCUCAACCGGGGAGGGUCAUUGGAAACUGGGAAACUUGAGUGCAGAAGAGGAGAGUGGAAUUCCACGUGUAGCGGUGAAAUGCGUAGAGAUGUGGAGGAACACCAGUGGCGAAGGCGACUCUCUGGUCUGUAACUGACGCUGAGGAGCGAAAGCGUGGGGAGCGAACAGGAUUAGAUACCCCAGUAGUCCCUGUCUCUUAUAU
Molecule: ribosomal RNA, 301 nt
Filed under: uncultured bacterium
Lineage: Bacteria
Description: partial 16S ribosomal RNA
Rfam family: Bacterial small subunit ribosomal RNA
Source: RNAcentral